GGCCACAGCUCAAGAGCAGUCACAAUUCUUUGUUCCAAGGCAAUGCAGAACUUUCUAACCCAAUGGACAGUUGCCACAGGGUUUGUUUUGCUUUUCUAACCCAUCACCUUUACUCACUUCUGCUGCACUGAGGAUACUUUUAUCUAAUGGGCUUCUAACUCACAGGCACACAUCUGCUUCUGUCUUAACUUCUAAACUCUUCAGUGUUUAUAAUUAUAGUUAGAAGAGAGUUUAUUCCAUAAUAGAAUUUAUUAUAACUCUAUUAUUCCAUAAUAGAGUUUAUUCCAUACCCACCUUAACCACACCUCUACCCUAUAAACCCUUCACCAUCUUACCCGUGCAGUUUCUCACUUACUUCAGGCAUAUUCUUACUUACAACUAUAGAAUUAUGAGUUUAUGAUUUUUCUGCUUAAUAUCUGUGCAUUGUAUUUUCACAUCAAUCCAAGCUUCUUCCAGGGCUGCAGAUCAAACCCUUCAGUGUCUGUGGGAGUUUCUGUUUUUCUGAUUGCCACAGGUGUGACAGGAAAUGAGCUGUGGAGAGCAGCUCUCCAGACAUCAUCCCCAGAUUUCAUCCCCAGCUCACUGGAAGAACAGGGAGUGAUGGAGCAUCUUCCACAGGCUGUGCCUCAGAUGUUCGGCACGUUCAGGGUUGGAAUAUUUUGUGUUCACUCUUGGUCAGACCUGAUAUUAAUGACAAUGUCACUGGAUUUCUCAUGGAGUAUCCUGAGCAGGAAGGGAUCCACGAGGAUCAUCAAAGCUUUGCUCCUAAGGGAAUCAUCCUCAUGGAUGCUCCUGCCUGCCCGGAGCUGGGCAAGCCCCUGGCAGACCCAAACCCCACAUCAAAUCCAUGCAGCUCAAGGAGGCCACCAAAGCCCUUUGAGCAGCCCACGUAUUUUCUCUAUUUUUGUAUCAAUCUGGCGUUUUCCUAAAUUCCUACCAGCUAAAUUUCCUGGAUUUUCUGCUGUCGGUGCCCAGGUGUUUGUGCUGCACUUUUUGAACUCCUCAGAGUGGCUUUUUCCAGAGUUAGGCAGAAGCCAAGUGAGGAUGAGAUCUCCAGGAUCCGUUUGCUCUUCAGCAUGUGGAGCGUGGUGCCAAUUUGCAUAUUUUGGUACUUGAACUUUACAAAUCACUCCUUAUGAUCAACAAAUAAGGUGUCAUUUACGUGCUUGUGUUCAGGAAAUGAGUUACAUUCAUCUUCCCUGUGUUCUCAGGAUGAAUUCAGGUGUUUUGGCACAGAGCACUCCCCUCGCCUGCCUCGUGCUGUUCACCUGUCAAAGGCUGUACCUCUGAGCCUGUAACUGCUUAAUUAAUGAUAUUAUAGAUGCUGUAGCCUUACCAACUGGAUUGUUUGGUCACUGGCCUAAGCUGGAAGUUUUUCAAAGGCAUAUUCAAUGAUUUAGCUUUUAAUUUAGGCAAAAUACCUUGCAUUUCAGAUGGAUUUAGUCAUAUUGCAUUAAAAAAUACAUAAUUUUUAA
Vidua macroura (Pin-tailed whydah) is the source of this 1475-nucleotide long non-coding RNA. RefSeq lists it as uncharacterized. The transcript is spliced from 2 exons. The record is from RefSeq and is a predicted model, not a curated record. NCBI's taxonomy places the organism in Eukaryota, Metazoa, Chordata, Aves, Passeriformes, Viduidae.